RNAcentral lists this long non-coding RNA (213 nucleotides) under Lathyrus oleraceus (garden pea). RNAcentral describes it as "Pisum sativum (pea) long non-coding RNA (PSAT_LNC023457)". The record is from RNAcentral. Lineage: Eukaryota; Viridiplantae; Streptophyta; Magnoliopsida; Fabales; Fabaceae.
AAAACCUGGGUUUAAGGCGAGGUCCCUAGAGUCACGGAUCGUAUCUAGAACCUCCCCACAAUAAUGGGCUAUCCAUAUUGUGAUGGAAACUCCAAACAAAUCUACUCUAGGUGGAGUCUUCGUAUUAUCCCAAUGAGGUGUACACCCCUCAGUUCAAUACUACGCAACUCCGGGUUCUAAGUUCUUUCUCGAAGCUCGGGUAUGGAGCUUAUC